Molecule: ribosomal RNA, 529 nt
Filed under: Athanas cf. dimorphus CUHK LMT CAR66
Lineage: Eukaryota; Metazoa; Arthropoda; Malacostraca; Decapoda; Alpheidae
Description: partial small subunit ribosomal RNA
Source: RNAcentral
UAAUUUAGAUUGAGUUAAUAGCUUCAUAGUAAGGUGAGGGGGUGAAAUCCGAGCAGUUAAUUGAAUGGAGCUUGUAAGUUGAGAGUUAAAUUGAUCGGUUUAGAAGCUUAAAAAGUGGAAAGAUAAACGAGGAUUAGAUACCCUUUUAUAUUCUUUAGUAAAAUAGAGAAGCCUGGGUAUUAUUAGUUAUGAGCUUUAAAUCCAAAGAAUUUGGCAGUAUUUAAGUCUAGUUAGAGGAACCUGUACUAUAAACGAUAAACCACGAUUAUCUUUCUUUGUUUUGUAUAUCAGCAUGUAUACCGUCAUUAUUAAGUGGUCUUAUUAAAGAAAACUGUAAUAAAAACUUUUUAAUAUAUUAGAUCAAGGUGCAGCUUAUAGCAAAGUGAGUUAUGGGUUACAAUUCAUUAAAUGAAAACGGAUAGGUGCUUGAAAAUAGGAGCUUAAAGGAGGAUUUAAUUGUAAAGAUGGUAAAUUAAGCUAAUUUGAUAAAGCACUUAAAUAUGCACAAAUCGCCCGUCGUUCUCAUUUA